This is a long non-coding RNA of Gavialis gangeticus (Gharial), 629 nucleotides long. RefSeq lists it as uncharacterized. The transcript has 7 exons. NCBI's taxonomy places the organism in Eukaryota, Metazoa, Chordata, Crocodylia, Gavialidae. The record is from RefSeq and is a predicted model, not a curated record.
UUGGUCCCUCUUUCCAUUCACAGCAGACAAUUACAGUGAAUUUAAAGGUUUUAUGUUGGCACAUUUGGCAUCAUUCCAUUUUAUCCUUUCUUACCAUGCUGGAAGUGGGCUCCAGAUCAGACACUAAAGAGGACAUGCAUUUAGAGUACAUCUUUUGAAAAUGGUCAUAUCCUCAGAAGCACACAUCUGCUUCUUGAUAUUCUGUCUCAAACUCAAAAUAGGCUUUCUUGUCACUAAAACCAUCCAUGCGUCAGUUUGUAAAGUGGUUAAGGGGAUUCAGCUGCAUUUCAUGUCUCGUCUCCACAAGAUUCCCUUGGAUGAGAAGGGACCCAUGGUUCUACAGGACACAAGAGGAGGAAAUACAAACCGGCAGAUAACUGGUAUGGAGUCACUGACAAUAAUUUACUGAGUGCCUUCAACUCUCGCAGUGAAAUCAGAAACUAUGUGCUCCUAAUGAAUUCCUCAUUGACUUGUUUUCCUGGCAAAGGAAACAAGGCCAAUGCUGCAGUAUUUGGGAGUGAAGUAUGCGGAUGACUUAGUGAACCAAAGGAGUGAGUUCCAACAACCGGCAUUUAUCAGAGGAAUAUUUGACAGCAUCUGCAUGUUUCAGAAGGCUGUACAGAGUUAAA